UACAGAGGUGCGGUUUUUAUCAGUACGUCUCAAUCAGGACUCCGCCGUCCGUUAACCUGAGACUGAAAGGAAACGCCGCCGAAGGAAAUUGUUAGCUGGCGGAGCAGAUUUUCUGGUUCAUUGGUUAACAGCCCUUGAACUGUCACCUUUCAGUUGUAAGGUGGAGCGCUG
RNAcentral lists this non-coding RNA (171 nucleotides) under bovine gut metagenome. RNAcentral's name for it is "Lysine riboswitch". It matches the Rfam family "Lysine riboswitch aptamer". Rfam says of the family: Riboswitches are metabolite binding domains within certain messenger RNAs that serve as precision sensors for their corresponding targets. Allosteric rearrangement of mRNA structure is mediated by ligand binding, and this results in modulation of gene expression. This family includes riboswitches that sense lysine in a number of genes involved in lysine metabolism, including lysC. The record is from RNAcentral.